This is a long non-coding RNA of Mauremys reevesii (Reeves's turtle), 1814 nucleotides long. RefSeq lists it as uncharacterized. Lineage: Eukaryota; Metazoa; Chordata; Testudines; Geoemydidae. The transcript is spliced from 2 exons. The record is from RefSeq and is a predicted model, not a curated record.
GCAAACUUACUGCAGGAGAGGGCCUCAGAGGACCGAAUGCUCCAGGGGUCUGGAUGUGACAAAGUGUGACAGUUACACAGCGUCACAAUAACCCCACUCUGGAUUAGAAUGUUUACAGAUUACCAGAGAACAGCAAAAGACUCACUGGUAGGAUCGAAAUGAAGGCACUAGACGAGGACUUUUAAGCAAAUGCAUUUGGUUACUUUAACACCUUGUCUAGCAGGGCUUUGGAGCGGAGCCUGGAGCUGGAGUGCAGAGCAGCUCCGGAGCAGUGGAGCAGCAGGUUUUUGCCUGGAGCUGGAGCGGAGCUCGAGUACAGCUCCAAAGCCCUGCUGCCUAGGCAGUUUGUGAAUAUCAGGUACGUCACUUCUUACUGAGGGUUUGAAAUGGCACUUUGCAGUACUGUGACGUUAGACAGUGGGGAUGGAAAACGCUAGUCCCCUGCCUUGAGACACGCACACAGAAGCCGCCCUUCUCUCAUCAAGCAAUACAAGGCUGGGCCAGGGGCAUUCAUACUCUGCUCAGAUCAAGGCCACAGUGACAACUUUCUAGAACCCAUAAGUUGCCCUUAACUGGAAUAAAACAAAGCAGAUAGCAGCUACCCUCGCCUUCAAUGCAGAGAUUACAGGUCUCGCUAACUACAAUCAGGCCACUCAGCUCAAGCCAGAUUAUCACAAGCUGUAGGUUACAUCUCUGUUUAGGCGAAGGAAGCCAGGAGCUGCAUUCGGCCUGGCUGAGUCGCUUUGGCAUUGCUGCUUUCAGCGCUGAAACACCUGUACAAGACCAGUCACUAAUGCAAUCAACCCAGCAGUCUCCUAGUUGCUUAACAAAACACACAUGCACAUGAGUGCUGUGACACAGCUCUACAAAUACUGUACACCAAUGUUUUUGUAGAAGUUAAGCCAUGAACAAAAAUAUAUCCAUAUUGUGAUUAGUGAGUCACUGCAGAGAGUCAGAAUGUUACAGGCACAGAUAUCAGCACACUGGCAUUUUCUCUCACUUCACAGUGCCUUGUUCUGGGUGAGCAAAGCAGCAGUGGCAAGAAGUCCCAGGAAACAGCUCAGCUACACCUCCUCUGCCUGGAGGAUGGGGGCUGUGAUGUGGGUGACAGGAGAUAAAGGGGGGAUGGACAGCAUAACCUUCAGUAUUUGCAUAGCGAAGAUGAUGCCUCCUUCCCCAAAAGGACGACACUCCUCUUGGCCAGAAGCCACUCCAUUGCAGAAACAACUUCAGAAUAAACAUUGCUGGAGAAGAGAGAAAAAGCCAAUCUAGGCUUCAGGAAAGAAAAAUAAUGCCAGAGUACAUGGUGGGGCAUAACUCACCGCUCAGACUCACAAACAAGGAAGAGAGAUGCCCUAGUCACUGGAUUUAAACAGCUACCAGAAAAUCCACCCAAACUCCUACAUAGAUCGUUUAAGGGCAUGUGUGUAUGUGCAGCUCCACAAGAUGGCACUAAAGGGAGUCCCUUUGAAAGGCUGAGAAAUCACGGACUAGCAGCUGAUCACAAUGGUCACCUCUGGCCUUAAACCCUAUGAAAGACAUCACACUGAAGCACCAUGACGCAUCCAGACUAGCACCUCCCAGACUAGCACCUCGGACAAAAAUACUCUUCAAGAGCAAUUAACUGCAGGGGGAUGCUCAAAAUCAAACAAGAUUUAUUUAAAUUGGAAUGUGGAUCUCUGUGAAUCCCACCCUGUGUCUAGUGUGACUGUAAGCAGCUCAGUGCAGGGAUCACCUCUCAGCGGGAGUGCAUAGUGCCUACCACUAUGGGGCCUGCAGGCUCUACCCAAACACCAGUACACAUUUCUAGUUUA